Molecule: long non-coding RNA, 464 nt
Filed under: Brassica napus (rape)
Lineage: Eukaryota; Viridiplantae; Streptophyta; Magnoliopsida; Brassicales; Brassicaceae
Description: long non-coding RNA (BNAP_LNC024796)
Source: RNAcentral
UUGAAUUUCAAAUCACUUAAUUUAUUUGAGUUACAAAGAAAGAAAUAUAUGAUUUUGUUUAACAAGAUUCAUGUGCAAUUAUGUUUUAUAUUUGAUAAAAUAAAAAACCAUGCUAAGCAAACACUAGUUAGAACAACCAAGAUAUCACACUAAAGUUUUCUUAUAUCACAUUAGAGUUAGGAAAACGAAUAAGCUGAUGAAUGUUUUAUUUUAUUUUAUAUAGUUAGAAUAAUAUAACAAACCAUUAUUUCAUGAUACAUCAUAUAAUAUAACAAAAGAUUCAAUCAAGAUAACAAAAUCGUGUGGUCGUGAGAUUAUGAAGGACUUUCAACUUCAGCAGAACAUCUGUUCCAAACCUCAUUAGUUUUGAAAGAAACUUGAGAAGCAAAGCGUUUGAGUUGAUACAAUCGAAACAUGAACUUUCUAAUCUCCAUGUAGCAUUCUUUUCCAGCUCUUACUACCAU